This 41-nucleotide ribosomal RNA is filed under the name Pyrodinium bahamense var. compressum. RNAcentral's name for it is "partial 28S ribosomal RNA". The record is from RNAcentral. Lineage: Eukaryota; Dinophyceae; Gonyaulacales; Pyrocystaceae.
CAAUUGACAUGAUCUUAAGCCAGUAAACCUGCUGAACUUAA